CAGUAGCCGCGGUAAUACAGAGGCCUCAAGCGUUGUUCGGAUUCAUUGGGCGUAAAGGGUGCGUAGGUGACUUGGUAAGUUGAAGGUGAAAUCUCGGGGCUUAACCCCGAAACUGCCUUCAAUACUGCUAGGCUCGAGGACUGUAGAGGAGAAUGGAAUUCACGGUGUAGCAGUGAAAUGCGUAGAUAUCGUGAGGAAGACCAGUGGCGAAGGCGAUUCUCUGGGCAGUUCCUGACACUGAGGCACGAAGGCCAGGGGAGCAAACGGGAUUAGAUACCCCUGUAGUCCCUGUCUCUUAUAC
RNAcentral lists this ribosomal RNA (301 nucleotides) under uncultured bacterium. RNAcentral describes it as "partial 16S ribosomal RNA". It matches the Rfam family "Bacterial small subunit ribosomal RNA", at positions 509 to 807 of the family's 1533-position model. The record is from RNAcentral.